GUCUACGGCCAUGCCACUCUGAACAAGCCCGAUCCUGUGUGAUCUCGGAAGCUAAGCAGGGUUGGGCCUGGUUAGUACUUGGAUGGGAGACCACCUAGGAAGACCAGGUGCUGUAGGCG
This is a non-coding RNA of Pteropus alecto (black flying fox), 119 nucleotides long. Lineage: Eukaryota; Metazoa; Chordata; Mammalia; Chiroptera; Pteropodidae. The record is from Rfam.